GAUGAAGAACGUAGCGAAAUGCGAUAAGUAAUGUGAAUUGCAGAAUUCAGUGAAUCAUCGAAUCUUUGAACGCACAUUGCGCCCGCCAGCAUUCUGGCGGGCAUGCCUGUUCGAGCGUCAUUUCAACCCUCGAGCCCCCCCGGGGGCCUCGGUGUUGGGGGACGGCACACCAGCCGCCCCCGAAAUGCAGUGGCGACCCCGCCGCAGCCUCCCCUGCGUAGUAGCACACACCUCGCACCGGAGCGCGGAGGCGGUCACGCCGUAAAACGCCCAACUUUCUUAGAGUUGACCUCGGAUCAGGUACGAAUACCCGCUGAACUUAAGCAUAUCAAUAAGCGGAGGA
Molecule: unclassified non-coding RNA, 343 nt
Filed under: soil metagenome
Description: partial contains 5.8S ribosomal RNA, internal transcribed spacer 2, and large subunit ribosomal RNA
Rfam family: 5.8S ribosomal RNA (bases 1-120)
Source: RNAcentral